Molecule: ribosomal RNA, 337 nt
Filed under: uncultured bacterium
Lineage: Bacteria
Description: partial 16S ribosomal RNA
Rfam family: Bacterial small subunit ribosomal RNA
Source: RNAcentral
GNAUGGUGCAAGCGUUAUUCGGAUUUACUGGGUGUAAAGCGAGCGUAGACGGAUGGGCAAGUCUGAUGUGAAAACCCGGGGCUCAACCCCGGNACUGCAUUGGAAACUGUUCAUCUAGAGUGCUGUAGAGGUAAGUGGAAUUCCUAGUGUAGCGGUGAAAUGCGUAGAUAUUAGGAGGAACANCNGUGGCGAAGGCGGCUUACUGGACAGUAACUGACGUUGAGGCUCGAAAGCGUGGGGAGCAAACAGGAUUAGAUACCCUGGUAGUCCACGCCGUAAACGAUGNGUACUAGGUGUCAGGUGNNAUANCCCNUCCNNNCNGCAGCAAANNCAAUNA